CCAAUAGCGUAUAUUAAAGUUGUUGCAGUUAAAAAGCUCGUAGUUGAAUUUCGGGAUUGACGUGAUGGUCAUGCCUUAAGGGGUAUGAACUGUUGCAGUUGAUUUCUCACCUUCUGGAGAAACUUGAUGUCCUUUAUUGGGUGUCUUGCGGAUCCAGGACCUUUACCUUGAAAAAAUUAGAGUGUUUAAAGCAGGCAUUUUUGCUCGAAUACAUUAGCAUGGAAUAAUAGAAUAGGACGGCAUGGUUCUAUUUUGUUGGUUUCUAGGAUAACCGUAAUGAUUAAUAGGGAUAGUUGGGGGCAUUAGUAUUCAAUUGUCAGAGGUGAAAUUCUUGGAUUUAUUGAAGACUAACUACUGCGAAAGCAUUUGCCAAGGAUGUUUUCAUUAAUCAAGAACGAAAGUUAGGGGAUCGAAGACGAUCAGAUACCGUCGUAGUCUUAACCAUAAACUAUGCCGACUAGGAAUCAGACGAUGUUAAUUUUUUAAUGACUCGUUUGGCACCUUACG
This 507-nucleotide unclassified non-coding RNA is filed under the name uncultured Entrophospora. Its description in RNAcentral is "SSU rRNA". It matches the Rfam family "Eukaryotic small subunit ribosomal RNA", at positions 591 to 1092 of the family's 1831-position model. The record is from RNAcentral. Lineage: Eukaryota; Fungi; Glomeromycota; Glomeromycetes; Entrophosporales; Entrophosporaceae.